RNAcentral lists this long non-coding RNA (382 nucleotides) under Lathyrus oleraceus (garden pea). Its description in RNAcentral is "Pisum sativum (pea) long non-coding RNA (PSAT_LNC014297)". The record is from RNAcentral. Lineage: Eukaryota; Viridiplantae; Streptophyta; Magnoliopsida; Fabales; Fabaceae.
GUGUGCACUCCUUUUAAUAAUAGUUGUCCUUCUGUCCAGCCACAUACAACUUCCACAACAGCUUCCAUAUCAAGCACUUCUCCCCCUUUUUAGUCAAAAUUGACCAAAGGUGACCAAUUAGACAAAAUAAAUGUCUAUUAGCCUAGCAGAGAAUGUUCGAUCAGACGUUAUAACAUUAAGCAUGUUAAAACUAAAUAUUUAGGAAGUACACACCAUAAUUAAACACAGUUGUGAUAGCUGGAAUAAUGAACAAAUCCAAGGAACUCCUUAAGAGCCCUAAAUAUUACAUAACAAGCAUCAAUAAGGACUGCCACAAAAUACAAAAAAAACCAAAAAAACACCAGUCUUUCAAACAGCAGACCAACUUCCACCAAACUUUCCA